This 254-nucleotide ribosomal RNA is filed under the name uncultured Neisseriales bacterium. RNAcentral's name for it is "partial 16S ribosomal RNA". It matches the Rfam family "Bacterial small subunit ribosomal RNA", at positions 80 to 334 of the family's 1533-position model. The record is from RNAcentral. Lineage: Bacteria; Pseudomonadati; Pseudomonadota; Betaproteobacteria; Neisseriales.
CUUCUCUGUCGGCGAGUGGCGAACGGGUGAGUAUAGCAUCGGAACGUGCCAAGUAGUGGGGGAUAACCAAACGAAAGUUUGGCUAAUACCGCGUAAGCUCCAAGGAGGAAAGUAGGGGACCUAAAUAAGGCCUUACGCUAUUUGAUCGGCCGAUGUCGGAUUAGCUAGUUGGUGGGGUAAUGGCUCACCAAGGCAAUGAUCCGUAGCGGGUCUGAGAGGACGAUCCGCCACACUGGGACUGAGACACGGCCCAG